This 351-nucleotide unclassified non-coding RNA is filed under the name soil metagenome. RNAcentral describes it as "partial contains 5.8S ribosomal RNA, internal transcribed spacer 2, and large subunit ribosomal RNA". The stretch from base 1 to 120 matches the Rfam family "5.8S ribosomal RNA", at positions 35 to 154 of the family's 154-position model. The record is from RNAcentral.
GAUGAAGAACGUAGCGAAAUGCGAUACGUAGUGUGAAUUGCAGAAUUCAGUGAAUCAUCGAAUCUUUGAACGCACAUUGCGCCCUUUGGUAUUCCAAAGGGCAUGCCUGUUCGAGCGUCAUUUGUACCUUCAAGCUUUGCUUGGUGUUGGGCGUCUUUUUGUCUCUCCUUUGCGGGAGACUCGCCUUAAAACGAUUGGCAGCCGGCCUACUGGUUUCGGAGCGCAGCACAUUUUUUGCGCUUUGCAUCAGGAGAAAAGGACGGUACUCCAUCAAGACGUUUACAUUUUUCACUUUUGACCUCGGAUCAGGUAGGGAUACCCGCUGAACUUAAGCAUAUCAAUAAGCGAGGA